GUGAACAUACCUACAACUGUUGCUUCGGCGGGUAGGCCGUCCCCUGAAAAGGACGCCUCCCGGCCCGGAACGGACCCCCUCGCGGGGCCCGGACCCGGCGCCCGCCGGAGGAUAACCAAACUCUAUUUUAACGACGUUUCUUCUGAGUGGCAUAAGCAAAAUAAUCAAAACUUUUAACAACGGAUCUCUUGGUUCUGGCAUCGAUGAAGAACGCAGCGAAAUGCGAUAAGUAAUGUGAAUUGCAGAAUUCAGUGAAUCAUCGAAUCUUUGAACGCACAUUGCGCCCGCCAGCAUUCUGGCGGGCAUGCCUGUUCGAGCGUCAUUUCAACCCUCAAGCUCUGCUUGGUGUUGGGGCCCCACGGUCGACGUGGGCCCUCAAAGGUAGUGGCGGACCCUCCCGGAGCCUCCUUUGCGUAGUAACAUUUCGUCACGCACUGGGAUCCGGAGGGACUCUUGCCCGUAAAACCCCCCAAUUUUUCAAGGUUGACCUCG
Molecule: ribosomal RNA, 492 nt
Filed under: Colletotrichum sp. FLS-2010
Lineage: Eukaryota; Fungi; Ascomycota; Sordariomycetes; Glomerellales; Glomerellaceae
Description: eukaryotic LSU rRNA
Rfam family: 5.8S ribosomal RNA (bases 169-322)
Source: RNAcentral